GAUGAACGCUGGCGGCGUGCUUAACACAUGCAAGUCGAACGAUGAAGCCCAGCUUGCUGGGUGGAUUAGCGGCGAACGGGUGAGUAACACGUGAGUAACCUGCCCUUAACUCUGGGAUAAGCCUGGGAAACUGGGUCUAAUACCGGAUAGGAGCGUCCACCGCAUGGUGGGUGUUGGAAAGAUUUAUCGGUUUUGGAUGGACUCGCGGCCUAUCAGCUUGUUGGUGAGGUAAUGGCUCACCAAGGCGACGACGGGUAGCCGGCCUGAGAGGGUGACCGGCCACACUGGGACUGAGACACGGCCCAGACUCCUACGGGAGGCAGCAGUGGGGAAUAUUGCACAAUGGGCGCAAGCCUGAUGCAGCGACGCCGCGUGAGGGAUGACGGCCUUCGGGUUGUAAACCUCUUUCAGUAGGGAAGAAGCGAAAGUGACUGUACCUGCAGAAGAAGCACCGGCUAACUACGUG
This 466-nucleotide ribosomal RNA is filed under the name uncultured bacterium. RNAcentral's name for it is "partial 16S ribosomal RNA". It matches the Rfam family "Bacterial small subunit ribosomal RNA", at positions 28 to 507 of the family's 1533-position model. The record is from RNAcentral.